AUACGUAGGGGGCGAGCGUUGUCCGGAAUGAUUGGGCGUAAAGGGCGCGUAGGCGGCCCGGUAAGUCUGGAGUGAAAGUCCUGUUUUUAAGAUCGGAAUUGCUUUGGAUACUGUCGGGCUUGAGUGCAGGAGAGGUAAGUGGAAUUCCCAGUGUAGCGGAGAAAUGCGUAGAGAUUGGGAGGAACACCAGUGGCGAAGGCGACUUACUGGACUGUAACUGACGCUGAGGCGCGAAAGUGUGGGGAGCAAACAGGAUUAGAUACCCUGGUAGUCCACACUGUAAACGAUGAAUGCUAGGUGUAGGGGGUAUCGACCCCUUCUGUGCCGCAGUCAACACAAUAAGCAUUCCGCCUGGGGAGUACGGCCGCAAGGUUGAAACUCAAAUGAAUUGACGGGG
This 397-nucleotide ribosomal RNA is filed under the name uncultured bacterium. Its description in RNAcentral is "partial 16S ribosomal RNA". It matches the Rfam family "Bacterial small subunit ribosomal RNA", at positions 523 to 918 of the family's 1533-position model. The record is from RNAcentral.